GAGCCAGUAGCUCAGCCGGCAGAGCACCGCCCUUUUAAGGCGGGAGUCAUGGGUUCGAUUCCCAUCUGGCUCACCA
Molecule: transfer RNA, 76 nt
Filed under: Candidatus Edwardsbacteria bacterium GWE2_54_12
Lineage: Bacteria; Candidatus Edwardsiibacteriota
Also listed under: 6 other names
Description: tRNA-Lys
Rfam family: tRNA
About the family: Transfer RNA (tRNA) molecules are approximately 80 nucleotides in length.
Source: RNAcentral